RNAcentral lists this ribosomal RNA (253 nucleotides) under uncultured bacterium. RNAcentral's name for it is "partial 16S ribosomal RNA". It matches the Rfam family "Bacterial small subunit ribosomal RNA", at positions 524 to 776 of the family's 1533-position model. The record is from RNAcentral.
UACGUAGGGGCCGAGCGUUGUCCGGAGUUAUUGGGCGUAAAGCGCGCGCAGGCGGCUUCGCGCGUCCGACAUGAAAGCCCCCGGCUUAACCGGGGAGGGUCGUUGGGUACGGCGGAGCUUGAGGGCGGGAGAGGGUGGUGGAAUUCCCGGUGUAGUGGUGAAAUGCGUAGAGAUCGGGAGGAACACCUGUGGCGAAGGCGGCCACCUGGGCCGACCCUGACGCUGAGGCGCGAAGGCGUGGGGAGCGAACGGG